This 2904-nucleotide ribosomal RNA is filed under the name Yersinia ruckeri. RNAcentral describes it as "bacterial LSU rRNA". It matches the Rfam family "Bacterial large subunit ribosomal RNA". Lineage: Bacteria; Pseudomonadati; Pseudomonadota; Gammaproteobacteria; Enterobacterales; Yersiniaceae. The record is from RNAcentral.
UUAAGCGACUAAGCGUACACGGUGGAUGCCUAGGCAGUCAGAGGCGAUGAAGGGCGUGCUAAUCUGCGAAAAGCGUCGGUAAGCUGAUAUGAAGCGUAAUAACCGACGAUACCCGAAUGGGGAAACCCAGUGCAAUUCGUUGCACUAUUGCAUGGUGAAUACAUAGCCAUGCAAGGCGAACCGGGGGAACUGAAACAUCUAAGUACCCCGAGGAAAAGAAAUCAACCGAGAUUCCCCCAGUAGCGGCGAGCGAACGGGGAAGAGCCCAGAGUCUGAAUCAGUUGGUGUGUUAGUGGAAGCGUCUGGAAAGUCGCACGGUACAGGGUGAUAGUCCCGUACACAAAAACACACUGGCUGUGAACUCGAUGAGUAGGGCGGGACACGUGACAUCCUGUCUGAAUAUGGGGGGACCAUCCUCCAAGGCUAAAUACUCCUGACUGACCGAUAGUGAACCAGUACCGUGAGGGAAAGGCGAAAAGAACCCCGGCGAGGGGAGUGAAAUAGAACCUGAAACCGUGUACGUACAAGCAGUGGGAGCACCUUCGUGGUGUGACUGCGUACCUUUUGUAUAAUGGGUCAGCGACUUAUAUUUUGUAGCAAGGUUAACCGAAUAGGGGAGCCGUAGGGAAACCGAGUCUUAACUGGGCGUCUAGUUGCAAGGUAUAGACCCGAAACCCGGUGAUCUAGCCAUGGGCAGGUUGAAGGUUGGGUAACACUAACUGGAGGACCGAACCGACUAAUGUUGAAAAAUUAGCGGAUGACUUGUGGCUGGGGGUGAAAGGCCAAUCAAACCGGGAGAUAGCUGGUUCUCCCCGAAAGCUAUUUAGGUAGCGCCUCGUGAACUCAUCUUCGGGGGUAGAGCACUGUUUCGGCUAGGGGUCCAUCCCGGAUUACCAAACCGAUGCAAACUCCGAAUACCGAAGAAUGUUAUCACGGGAGACACACGGCGGGUGCUAACGUCCGUCGUGAAGAGGGAAACAACCCAGACCGCCAGCUAAGGUCCCAAAGUCAUGGUUAAGUGGGAAACGAUGUGGGAAGGCAUAGACAGCCAGGAUGUUGGCUUAGAAGCAGCCAUCAUUUAAAGAAAGCGUAAUAGCUCACUGGUCGAGUCGGCCUGCGCGGAAGAUGUAACGGGGCUAAACCAUGCACCGAAGCUGCGGCAGCGACGCUUAGGCGUUGUUGGGUAGGGGAGCGUUCUGUAAGCCGUUGAAGGUGGCCUGUGAGGGCUGCUGGAGGUAUCAGAAGUGCGAAUGCUGACAUAAGUAACGAUAAUGCGGGUGAAAAACCCGCACGCCGGAAGACCAAGGGUUCCUGUCCAACGUUAAUCGGGGCAGGGUGAGUCGACCCCUAAGGCGAGGCUGAAAAGCGUAGUCGAUGGGAAACAGGUUAAUAUUCCUGUACUGGGUGUGACUGCGAAGGGGGGACGGAGAAGGCUAGGCUAGCCGGGCGACGGUUGUCCCGGUUUAAGCAUGUAGGCGGAGCGACUUGGUAAAUCCGGUUGCUUAUCAACGCUGAGGUGUGAUGACGAGCCACUACGGUGGUGAAGUAGUUGAUGCCAAGCUUCCAGGAAAAGCCUCUAAGCAUCAGGUGACAUUCAAUCGUACCCCAAACCGACACAGGUGGUCAGGUAGAGAAUACUCAGGCGCUUGAGAGAACUCGGGUGAAGGAACUAGGCAAAAUGGUGCCGUAACUUCGGGAGAAGGCACGCUGGCAUUAGGUAAAGAGACUUGCUCUCGGCGCCGAAGCCAGUCGCAGAUACCAGCUGGCUGCAACUGUUUAAUAAAAACACAGCACUGUGCAAACACGAAAGUGGACGUAUACGGUGUGACGCCUGCCCGGUGCUGGAAGGUUAAUUGAUGGGGUCAGCCGCAAGGCGAAGCUCUUGAUCGAAGCCCCAGUAAACGGCGGCCGUAACUAUAACGGUCCUAAGGUAGCGAAAUUCCUUGUCGGGUAAGUUCCGACCUGCACGAAUGGCGUAAUGAUGGCCAGGCUGUCUCCACCCGAGACUCAGUGAAAUUGAACUCGCUGUGAAGAUGCAGUGUACCCGCGGCAAGACGGAAAGACCCCGUGAACCUUUACUAUAGCUUGACACUGAAUAUUGAGCCUUGAUGUGUAGGAUAGGUGGGAGGCAUUGAAGCGUGGACGCCAGUCUGCGUGGAGCCAACCUUGAAAUACCACCCUUUAAUGUUUGAUGUUCUAACUCGGCCCCAUAAUCUGGGGUGAGGACAGUGUCUGGUGGGUAGUUUGACUGGGGCGGUCUCCUCCCAAAGAGUAACGGAGGAGCACGAAGGUUAGCUAAUCACGGUCGGACAUCGUGAGGUUAGUGCAAAGGCAUAAGCUAGCUUGACUGCGAGAGUGACGGCUCGAGCAGGUACGAAAGUAGGUCUUAGUGAUCCGGUGGUUCUGAAUGGAAGGGCCAUCGCUCAACGGAUAAAAGGUACUCCGGGGAUAACAGGCUGAUACCGCCCAAGAGUUCAUAUCGACGGCGGUGUUUGGCACCUCGAUGUCGGCUCAUCACAUCCUGGGGCUGAAGUAGGUCCCAAGGGUAUGGCUGUUCGCCAUUUAAAGUGGUACGCGAGCUGGGUUUAGAACGUCGUGAGACAGUUCGGUCCCUAUCUGCCGUGGGCGUUGGAAGAUUGAGAGGGGCUGCUCCUAGUACGAGAGGACCGGAGUGGACGCAUCACUGGUGUUCGGGUUGUCAUGCCAAUGGCAUUGCCCGGUAGCUAAAUGCGGAAAAGAUAAGCGCUGAAAGCAUCUAAGCGCGAAACUUGCCUCGAGAUGAGUCUUCCCUGGGGCUUUAAGCCCCCUGAAGGAACGUUAAAGACUAUGACGUUGAUAGGCUGGGUGUGUAAGUGCAGCGAUGCAUUGAGCUAACCAGUACUAAUGAUCCGUGAGGCUUAACCU